CAACUCUCAGGUUCACACCAGGAGAGUUUCCAGUACUCUACCAGUAUGGACUAUGGGAGGGACAGUCAAGCAGAGGCAUACCCAUUCCAUUCCUAGCUUGGCCAGUGGCUAGUGAGUGGAAGGCAAUCUGCUACAAGC
This is a small nucleolar RNA of Tachyglossus aculeatus (Australian echidna), 138 nucleotides long. Lineage: Eukaryota; Metazoa; Chordata; Mammalia; Monotremata; Tachyglossidae. The record is from RefSeq and is a predicted model, not a curated record.